RNAcentral lists this unclassified non-coding RNA (200 nucleotides) under uncultured Sebacina. RNAcentral's name for it is "sequence contains ITS2". The record is from RNAcentral. Lineage: Eukaryota; Fungi; Basidiomycota; Agaricomycetes; Sebacinales; Sebacinaceae.
UACUCUCACACUCUCUGAUCCUUUGGAUUGGGAGUGGUGGACUUGGGUGUUGCUGUUACUGCGCGGCUCACCUCAAAUACAUUAGUGCAACUCCUGGUUGGACAUAGUACGGCGUGAUAAGUGUCUUCGCCGGCACCUCGCAAGAGGGUGGCUGAUCAGGAGCUCUGUGCUCCCAACCGUCUUUCAGACAACAACUGACA